GAGCCGUUAGCUCAGUUGGCAGAGCACUGGAUUUUUAAUCCAGGUGUCCCGGGUUCGACCCCCGGACGGCUCACCA
Molecule: transfer RNA, 76 nt
Filed under: Synergistaceae bacterium
Lineage: Bacteria; Thermotogati; Synergistota; Synergistia; Synergistales; Synergistaceae
Description: tRNA-Lys
Rfam family: tRNA
About the family: Transfer RNA (tRNA) molecules are approximately 80 nucleotides in length. Their secondary structure includes four short double-helical elements and three loops (D, anti-codon, and T loops).
Source: RNAcentral